GUCUAUGGCGGACCGUGCAAGGCGGACUUCGGUCCGGCCGGUCUUUCUACCCGGUUUUCUACCCUUGCACGGUCCGCCUCCCUA
This 84-nucleotide non-coding RNA is filed under the name Pseudomonas knackmussii B13. The record is from RNAcentral. Lineage: Bacteria; Pseudomonadati; Pseudomonadota; Gammaproteobacteria; Pseudomonadales; Pseudomonadaceae.